RNAcentral lists this ribosomal RNA (301 nucleotides) under uncultured bacterium. Its description in RNAcentral is "partial 16S ribosomal RNA". It matches the Rfam family "Bacterial small subunit ribosomal RNA", at positions 509 to 809 of the family's 1533-position model. The record is from RNAcentral.
CAGUAGCCGCGGGAAUACGGAGGGUGCAAGCGUUAAUCGGAAUUACUGGGCGUAAAGCGCACGCAGGCGGUCUGACAAGUCAGAUGUGAAAUCCCCGGGCUUAACCUGGGAACUGCAUUUGAAACUGUCAGGCUGGAGUCUUGUAGAGGGGGGUGGAAUUCCAGGUGUAGCGGUGAAAUGCGUAGAGAUCUGGAGGAAUACCGGUGGCGAAGGCGGCCCCCUGGACAAAGACUGACGCUCAGGUGCGAAAGCGUGGGGAGCAAACAGGAUUAGAUACCCGCGUAGUCCUGUCUCUUAUACA